UUUUGGAAGAUCAGCGGCGGACGGGUGAGUAACACGUGGGCAACCUGCCUGUGAGACUGGGAUAACUUCGGGAAACCGGAGCUAAUACCGGAUAAUAUAAGGAACCUCCUGGUUCUUUAUUGAAAGAUGGUUUCGGCUAUCACUCACAGAUGGGCCCGCGGCGCAUUAGCUAGUUGGUGAGGUAACGGCUCACCAAGGCGACGAUGCGUAGCCGACCUGAGAGGGUGAUCGGCCACACUGGGACUGAGACACGGCCCAGACUCCUACGGGAGGCAGCAGUAGGGAAUCUUCCACAAUGGACGAAAGUCUGAUGGAGCAACGCCGCGUGAGCGAUGAAGGCCUUCGGGUCGUAAAGCUCUGUUGUUAGGGAAGAACAAGUGCGAGAGUAACUGCUCGCACCUUGACGGUACCUAACCAGAAAGCCACGGCUAACUACGUGCCAGCAGCCGCGGUAAUACGUAGGUGGCAAGCGUUGUCCGGAAUUAUUGGGCGUAAAGCGCGCGCAGGUGGUCCUUUAAGUCUGAUGUGAAAGCCCACGGCUCAACCGUGGAGGGUCAUUGGAAACUGGGGGACUUGAGUGCAGAAGAGGAAAGUGGAAUUCC
RNAcentral lists this ribosomal RNA (602 nucleotides) under Sutcliffiella horikoshii. Its description in RNAcentral is "bacterial SSU rRNA". It matches the Rfam family "Bacterial small subunit ribosomal RNA", at positions 82 to 670 of the family's 1533-position model. The record is from RNAcentral. Lineage: Bacteria; Bacillati; Bacillota; Bacilli; Caryophanales; Bacillaceae.